This 465-nucleotide ribosomal RNA is filed under the name Vreelandella stevensii. Its description in RNAcentral is "partial 16S ribosomal RNA". It matches the Rfam family "Bacterial small subunit ribosomal RNA", at positions 338 to 795 of the family's 1533-position model. The record is from RNAcentral. Lineage: Bacteria; Pseudomonadati; Pseudomonadota; Gammaproteobacteria; Oceanospirillales; Halomonadaceae.
CCUACGGGGGGCAGCAGUGGGGAAUAUUGGACAAUGGGGGGAACCCUGAUCCAGCCAUGCCGCGUGUGUGAAGAAGGCCCUCGGGUUGUAAAGCACUUUCAGUGAGGAAGAACGCCUGGUGGUUAAUACCCAUCAGGAAAGACAUCACUCACAGAAGAAGCACCGGCUAACUCCGUGUCAGCAGCCGCGGUAAUACGGAGUGUGCGAGCGUUAAUCGGAAUUACUGGGCGUAAAGCGCGCGUAGGUGGCUUGAUAAGCCGGUUGUGAAAGCCCCGGGCUCAACCUGGGAACGGCAUCCGGAACUGUCAAGCUAGAGUGCAGGAGAGGAAGGUAGAAUUCCCGGUGUAGCGGUGAAAUGCGUAGAGAUCGGGAGGAAUACCAGUGGCGAAGGCGGCCUUCUGGACUGACACUGACACUGAGGUGCGAAAGCGUGGGUAGCAAACAGGAUUAGAUACCCUGGUAGUC